This 433-nucleotide ribosomal RNA is filed under the name uncultured bacterium. Its description in RNAcentral is "partial 16S ribosomal RNA". It matches the Rfam family "Bacterial small subunit ribosomal RNA", at positions 29 to 507 of the family's 1533-position model. The record is from RNAcentral.
AACGAACGCUGGCGGCAUGCCUAACACAUGCAAGUCGAACGAGACCUCCGGGCCUAGUGGCGCACGGGUGCGUACGGCGUGGUAACCUGCCCUUAGGUUCGGAAUCACUCCCCUAAAGGUGUGCUAAUGCAGGUUAGUCUCUUCGCAGCAAAGAUCUCUCGCCUCAGGAUGGGCGCUCGUUGGAUUAGCGGGUUGGUAGGGUAAAAGCAUACCAAGGCGACGUUCCAUAGCUGGUCUGAGAGGAUGCUCAUCCACACUGGAACUGAGGCACGGCCCAGACUCGUACGGGACGCAGCAGUAGGGAAUAUUAGAGGCUGGGGGCAAGCCUGGUCACGCCGUGCGGCGUGAGUGGUGAAGGGCUUAGGAUUGUAAAGCUGUUUUACACGAGAUGAGAAUGACAGUACCGGGAGAAUAAGCUCCGGCUAACUCCGUG